GGCUCACGUUGAACGCUAGCUACAGGCUUAACACAUGCAAGUCGAGGGGCAGCAUGGUCUUAGCUUGCUAAGGCCGAUGGCGACCGGCGCACGGGUGAGUAACGCGUAUCCAACCUGCCUUACACUCUUGGACAGCCUUCUGAAAGGGAGAUUAAUACAAGAUGUUAUCAUGAGUAAGCAUUUUCGCAUGAUUAAAGGUUUACCGGUGUAAGAUGGGGAUGCGUUCCAUUAGAUAGUAGGCGGGGUAACGGCCCACCUAGUCUUCGAUGGAUAGGGGUUCUGAGAGGAAGGUCCCCCACAUUGGAACUGAGACACGGUCCAAACUCCUACGGGAGGCAGCAGUGAGGAAUAUUGGUCAAUGGACGAGAGUCUGAACCAGCCAAGUAGCGUGAAGGAUGAAGGUUCUAUGGAUUGUAAACUUCUUUUAUACGGGAAUAAACGAAUCCACGUGUGGAUUUUUGCAUGUACCGUAUGAAUAAGGAUCGGCUAACUCCGUGCCAGCAGCCGCGGUAAUACGGAGGAUCCGAGCGUUAUCCGGAUUUAUUGGGUUUAAAGGGAGCGUAGAUGGGUUGUUAAGUCAGUUGUGAAAGUUUGCGGCUCAACCGUAAAAUUGCAAUUGAUACUGGCAGUCUUGAGUACAGUUGAGGUAGGCGGAAUUCGUGGUGUAGCGGUGAAAUGCUUAGAUAUCACGAAGAACUCCGAUUGCGAAGGCAGCUUACUAACCUGUAACUGACAUUGAUGCUCGAAAGUGUGGGUAUCAAACAGGAUUAGAUACCCUGGUAGUCCACACGGUAAACGAUGAAUACUCGCUGUAGGCGAUAUACAGUCUGCGGCCAAGCGAAAGCAUUAAGUAUUCCACCUGGGGAGUACGCCGGCAACGGUGAAACUCAAAGGAAUUGACGGGGGCCCGCACAAGCGGAGGAACAUGUGGUUUAAUUCGAUGAUACGCGAGGAACCUUACCCGGGCUUAAAUUGCAACCGAAUAUGGCGGAAACGCUAUAGCUAGCAAUAGCGGUUGUGAAGGUGCUGCAUGGUUGUCGUCAGCUCGUGCCGUGAGGUGUCGGCUUAAGUGCCAUAACGAGCGCAACCCUUGCCGAUAGUUACUAACAGGUUAUGCUGAGGACUCUGUCGGGACUGCCAUCGUAAGAUGUGAGGAAGGUGGGGAUGACGUCAAAUCAGCACGGCCCUUACGUCCGGGGCUACACACGUGUUACAAUGGGGGGUACAGAGGGCUGCUACCACGCAAGUGGAUGCCAAUCCCAAAAACCUCUCUCAGUUCGGAUUGAAGUCUGCAACCCGACUUCAUGAAGCUGGAUUCGCUAGUAAUCGCGCAUCAGCCACGGCGCGGUGAAUACGUUCCCGGGCCUUGUACACACCGCC
Molecule: ribosomal RNA, 1380 nt
Filed under: uncultured bacterium
Lineage: Bacteria
Description: 16S ribosomal RNA
Rfam family: Bacterial small subunit ribosomal RNA
Source: RNAcentral